UGUGACUGAAGAUAUAAGAGGCGGUGAAAUGACAACAACACAACACACAGUUUGGAGUGACACCCAAAAUCUUCCUCAACCAACAGACCAACAGUCAAGAUGAGAUUUAUAGUGCCAGUGUUUGUUUUCCUCGCCGUGGCAGCAUUUCACACCGCUUUCUCAGCCUCUCUGGAAUCUGCAGAGAAAGAGGAAAAGGUUGCUCAAUACGAUGGGCUAACUGAGCUGCAGAAAAUAGAUCAGAUGGAGUUUGAGGCUGCUCAAAAGAAUGAGGCCGCUCAGAUGAAUGUUACAGAGGAACAGAAUGAGGAGACCCACUACCUUGAGGCUGUUAAGGAUGAAUCUGAGGAGGAGCACAUCGAAGCCGAGGGUGACAAGACAGCAGAGGGAGGCGGCAACUCUGACACUGCAGCUCAUGAGGAAUCCGAGUCUGAGUCCUCUGAGGAAGCAUACGCUAGUGUGUUUUAUCUUUGACAGGGAGACAGAGGCGGGAGCACCAUGAAGCAGUUACAGAGACUGUGAGCAGUUUGGACGAAGUCAGUCAGGAUUCAACCAAGGAACAAGAUGUACUGGAGUGAGAAAGCGCAGAAACAUGCGGAUCCCAGCGCUCACUCAUCACCCGGUGCCUGAGCUGCGCUGAAUUUACUGUCAAUAAAAAGGGAACUAUCCCACCUAUCUGUAUAA
Molecule: RNA transcript, 681 nt
Organism: Seriola aureovittata
Lineage: Eukaryota; Metazoa; Chordata; Actinopteri; Carangiformes; Carangidae
Gene name: cyclin-dependent kinase 11A-like
Exons: 13
Source: RefSeq, a predicted model, not a curated record